CAGUUCGGAUUGUAGUCUGCAACCGACUACAUGAAGCUGGAAUCGCUAGUAAUCGCAGAUCAGAAUGCUGCGGUGAAUACGUUCCCGGGUCUUGUACACACCGCCCGUCACACCAUGGGAGUUGGAAAUGCCCGAAGUCGGUGACCUAACCGAAAGGGAGGAGCCGCCGAAGGCAGGUCUGAUAACUGGGGUGAAGUCGUAACAAGGUAGC
This 211-nucleotide ribosomal RNA is filed under the name uncultured bacterium. RNAcentral describes it as "partial 16S ribosomal RNA". It matches the Rfam family "Bacterial small subunit ribosomal RNA", at positions 1289 to 1500 of the family's 1533-position model. The record is from RNAcentral.